GCUGAUGAUCGACAUAGGAGAAAAUUUAUAAAAUAAUUUGAUGAUCUUGUAAGUUAUAUUAGUGAUACAUUAUUUAUUUAAUUAUAAAUAAUACUAUUUAAACCAACAUAAUUUUUUAUGUUAUGAUGUAGAUGAAAUAUAAGUAUUUCAAUAAAGAAGUGGGUGCGACCGAUGAGUUGUAUGAUUUAGCAUGUGGUCCCGAUCGAAGGGUUAAUCAUUAUGCAUCUUGUAUCAUUGGAGGAAUGAGAUUUCAUACAAGGGAGCUUGAGAUGCAAUGACAGACUCAGAAUAGUGGGAUUGCU
RNAcentral lists this long non-coding RNA (302 nucleotides) under Elaeis guineensis (African oil palm). RNAcentral's name for it is "long non-coding RNA (EGUI_LNC001952)". Lineage: Eukaryota; Viridiplantae; Streptophyta; Magnoliopsida; Arecales; Arecaceae. The record is from RNAcentral.